AGUGAACGCUGGCGGUAGGCCUAACACAUGCCAGUCGAACGGCAGCACAGUAAGAGCUUGCUCUUACGGGUGGCGAGUGGCGGACGGGUGAGGAAUACAUCGGAAUCUACUUUUUCGUGGGGGAUAACGUAGGGAAACUUACGCUAAUACCGCAUACGACCUACGGGUGAAAGCAGGGGAUCUUUGGACCUUGCGCGAUUGAAUGAGCCGAUGUCGGAUUAGCUAGUUGGCGGGGUAAAGGCCCACCAAGGCGACGAUCCGUAGCUUGUCUGAGAGGAUGAUCAGCCACACUGGAACUGAGACACGGUCCAGACUCCUACGGGAGGCAGCAGUGGGGAAUAUUGGACAAUGGGCGCAAGCCUGAUCCAGCCAUACCGCGUGGGUGAAGAAGGCCUUCGGGUUGUAAAGCCCUUUUGUUGGGAAAGAAAAGCAGCAGGUUAAUACCCCGCUGUUCUGACGGUACCCAAAGAAUAAGCACCGGCUAACUUCGUG
Molecule: ribosomal RNA, 492 nt
Filed under: uncultured bacterium
Lineage: Bacteria
Description: partial 16S ribosomal RNA
Rfam family: Bacterial small subunit ribosomal RNA
Source: RNAcentral